GUCGCCCAGGGUUGGGAUGUUGGUGUCGGCUGGGGGCUGCUGUGAGGCGCUUGGUAGCACCCAGUCCUGAUACUCUCCAGUUACCCGGUAGGCGGGGCUCGGACACAAAGAAAAGAGAUCUUUGGGGGCUUGGAUGGAGGAACAGGAAAAGAGGAGCCAGGCGUUUUUGGAAAAUUGGCGGCAGCGGUGGCAUACGGGAAACUGAAAUCUUUAUCUAAUCUCAUCCUUUGUGUAUUCAUCUUGGAUUUGCUGAAGAAAAUUAAAAGGCCAGGCCUACCACUCCUAUGGCACAGUAUUGAUGAGAGACAUCAGUGGAGCUCCCCACCUCCACCCCAGGCUUGGAACUUAGGGAAUGACUGGUUUUUGUCAUUUCACACAACAGCUGAAGGAUUCUGUCCCCACCUCGUCCUCUGUGAAGUCUGCUGGACGUACCUGCCAGAAUCUUCUGAAGAUGACGUUUGCUGAACACUGACCCACAGGGGUUUGAUGGAUUAUUGACAAUGAGACAAGCUGUCUUUUCAUCAAUUAGAGAUUCCAGUUGUUUCAGGUCAAUUUCCCAAGAUUUCUCUGGCUGGAGAGAAAGAAAGGAUGAGACUAAGAUGAUUCUGAAACAUUUAGGGGGAAUCCUCACUUAUCUCAAGGGUCCAAUGUAAGCAAUAAAGUCUGUCUCUGGCUUCAACCACCA
RNAcentral lists this long non-coding RNA (685 nucleotides) under Pan troglodytes (chimpanzee). Its description in RNAcentral is "long non-coding RNA NONPTRT006102". The record is from RNAcentral. Lineage: Eukaryota; Metazoa; Chordata; Mammalia; Primates; Hominidae.